This 1459-nucleotide long non-coding RNA is filed under the name Capsicum annuum. Its description in RNAcentral is "long non-coding RNA (CANN_LNC006550)". The record is from RNAcentral. Lineage: Eukaryota; Viridiplantae; Streptophyta; Magnoliopsida; Solanales; Solanaceae.
GGGAUUCGAUCUCGAUUCCCAUUUCUUUUCAAAUAAAUACAAAUCCCUCCAUCUUUCUAAAUUAUUCUCUCACCUUAGAUUUCAAUAGUAAUUAAACCCUAAUCAUUCCAAUACUAAAGAAAAAUGAUACUACCCCUCACAGAGUCUCUUGACUUUGUAACAAGGCAAGAUUUAAUUGCCGAUUCUAUAUUCAUAGUAGAUCUCAAGCAUCACUACUCUCCACUGAACUUAAGUAAGCACUUCUUUUGCUUCCAAAUUUUCUUUGAUUUAUUGAAAAGUUGUGUAGUGAAUCAAAGGGUUUUUCAAACCAUAGAUUUAAAAGUUUGAGCAAUUGGGGUUGGUUGGGUCACUUGUUUUUAUUGAAAAGAUGAACUUGAAUGUAGGUUAGGGGUAAUUAGGUAGUUAAUUGUGGUUGUUGGUUACCCUAGGUGAAGUAUGAGUAACCUUGAUAUUGUUGUUCACAUUAGUCACGAGCGCAUUGUCUGUAGUGUCACUUUGAUGAUCUUUGUGAUGAUAAAUAGAUGAUUAUAUACUACUACUCACUUGAAAAAAAAUUUGAAUUGAUGCAUAAGAAAGGUACUACCUAUUGCAUCCCCUACGACUCCCAUAAUGACUCAUUUCCAGACAUCAUGAGUCAUUGUGUGAGUUGUAAUGACUACAUCUAGGUUAAGUAAAUGGUUAAUUCCCUUUUAAUUACAUAUGUUCUCCCUACGAGUCACUUGACGACUCAUAGGGCCACUAGAAAAAUCAUCAGGUGAACCAUUCUGAUAGGACCUACUUUGCACUUCACAGGACUCUACUCAAUGGUUCACCCAAUGAGUCAUUGUGUAACCACAUAAGUCAUGGGGUGCAGUUGUUUAGAAACCAUUCAAGAUGACUAGUUAAGUUCAGGCCAUACGACUCUGAUGACGACUCAUCUGAACAACGAUAACUCAUUAUCUAACUCAUAGUUACUGGGAGUAGAGGUUACCUGUAAAAAAAAAAAAUUCCUACUUUUUUUAUUGCUUUCUUUGAUUAAUUUUACUAAUGUGUAAUCCCCUGCAGGUACCAUGGCACCAAAGAAUGACAACAUAAAGGAUGAAAACAAAAAGGCAAUCCGACUCCCAAGAAACAAGCUUAGUACACUCACCAAUUAAGAGAUGAACCUUUUGUGGACGAGCAGGAGUAGAGUAGAUCAGUAUCUUAGGACUAUUCCAGCCAUGGAGUAGCUUGCCCAAGGCAGUAGAUCAAGGCACUAAAUAAAGAGUGUUUGGGCCUCUCCAGCACAUUCACUUUUUCCUCCCUAAUCUGAAGAGGGAGGAGAGUCUGGGUCUGGGUUUGAUUAUGAGAAAAAAGGGGAUAAAAUGUUUCGAAGAGUCAGGAUGACACUGCAUAGUGAAAUAUGGUCAAAAUCCAACUUGAGAGAGUCCACAGAUAGUGAGAAAGGGGACGAUAUUGACAAUUCUCCAUAUAUGGUUCC